Molecule: long non-coding RNA, 1264 nt
Organism: Ziziphus jujuba (common jujube)
Lineage: Eukaryota; Viridiplantae; Streptophyta; Magnoliopsida; Rosales; Rhamnaceae
Exons: 2
Source: RefSeq, a predicted model, not a curated record
UGUACACGUAGGAAUGGCAAUUUCUCUAAAAAAUCGGGUUUGCGAGGUUGGCUCGGGGCAAAUGCUCAAAACCCGAAUUGAGGAUGGACCGAGACAGGGGAAUAAAAGCCUCGUCUGGGUAUAUAUAUAUAUAUAUAUAUAUAUAUGUAUAUAUAUAUAUUUAUAAUUUCAAUUAUGUAUGUAAAACAUUAUUUUCUUUUUUUCUUCCAAACCCUAACACUAACAGUCCUCAGGCCGCCGACUUUCUCCAGUUGUUCUGUUGCUGCCUGUUUUGGCAUUCAAUUUCUCCGAUCGCUUCUCAUCGCUCUGACUUUCUUCAAUCAUUCUAACUCUGAAAUUUGGUAGAUCUCAGAGCAUACUCACUUUCUUAGAUCGUUCUGAAAAUUAAGAGAAAUCUUCUUCUCCACCUGAGAGAGUUCAACAAGUUCAAGAAAUCUUCUUCUCUCUGCUCAGGCUUUCUAGAAAAAGAAAAGCUUCAUUCUCUGGUUUUUCCGUUCACAUUCUCCGAUUGUUUCGGUCAUCACUUCAAAUUUCUCUGAUCGAUCCUCCGAGGACUCCGACUUUGAAAAUUAAAGAAAUCUUGUUGUUCUUUGCGUUUGGCGUUCUGUUUCUACGACCGCUCCAACUCAAGAAAUUUUUUUGCAUAAAUUUUUCAAAAAAAAAUUAUAUGAAUUAUGAAAAAAAAAGGGGAAAAAAGCCCCGCCUCAUCCCAAAUUGGGAAAUCUUCACCUUGUCCCGCCUCUAAAAACAGUAGAAAAUCCACAAAAUUGGAUGAAAAUUUUCCCACAGCGACGGAUAUGGGAUUUUAAAAACCCACCCGCCCCGCUGCGCGUUGGCAUUCCUGGGUAUACGCAUCUUUUUUUUCUUUUUUUUUUGGGUAUAUAUAUCCGUCUUUAUAAAUAAUUUAUUAGAUUUUAUUUAUUUAGAUAUUCAGGAGACGUGCAAGACUUUUUGCACAGCCGUCAGCCCCAUUUUCCCUGUUUCCCUCGUACAACUGUGCUUGAGGACACUAGUCACGCAGUGGAAGUCCAUGUAGAAAUGUAGCCUUUCUUCUAAGUUCUAAUCUAAUCUAACUAAUGCACCUCCAUUUUCGUUACUCAUAUUUCCUCCCUAUUCUCUGAUUUUAAGUGUGGUCGGAAAUCCACACACGCUGAAGGUGCUCAUCAAGGAUUAGAGCUACCUUUUCCAUACAAGAUUUGAGUUUAUUAUUUAUUUUUCUGUAUCAUAUGAUGUAGGAAUCCUGAAUGUACAACAAAUUUGGUCC